ACAUUACAACGCUCACGCUCACCUGACUCCUAGCACACCUGCGUCACGUUUUCACGCCACCUACUUAAACUGUUUAAUCGCACGCACACUUUGCGUGGUUUCAUUCCCACUGUGUUUCAGUGUUCAGAGUUUUGCCAUUUUACUAUUUCUGUAUUCUGCAUUUGCUAAAAAUAAAGCUUGUGCUUAGAUCCGCAAUCCUCCGCUUCAUGACAGACGCCUUUUCUUGGAGCAGGUCCACAUGUGAUCUCUAAUUAACAGCUCUCGUGGACAGGAAGCAGUAAUUACCGCGCUCCCUCUGCGGCGUUCACUGCAGGCCUGAGGCAGGACUAAUGGUGAGCCGGAGAAAGCCAAACUGCAGCACCUCAUAUUCCCAUUAAAGAGGAUUACAGGCAUUGCUUUGGCGACCUCCAGCAUCCGCGUUGUCAGGACAGCAGUUUCCAAGGCAACAGGAGCACCACAAAGAGGCUGCACUAAGGGCCGAGUAGAUGGAGAGGGAGAGAGGAGGCAUGAGUGUUGCAGGAAACGGGUUUACGUAAGCAAGGACGUGUGUGUGUGUGUGUGUGUGUGUGUGUGUGUACUGUACUCAUCCACAGAGUGCCAUCUCCACAGACAGAAAAAAGAGAAUAGAGUAUACAGAGAAAAAUGACAGAGCAAAAAAUUUGAGGCAGAAAUAAAUUUAAAAAAAGAAAAAGCCUUGAGGGUUUUGUGUGUGUGUGUAUACGUGUGUGUGUGUGUGUGUGUGUGUGUGUUUGUUGCAGUGACCCAACUUGAAACCCCAGCAGAUCGAGAUGUGAAUACAGAGCUCAAACUAGCUGCAGCUGUCAAGGAUACUGAAAUUUUUUUAACUUGAAACAUUAAUAAUUAAUAUUAACAUUAAUAUCUUCCUCCAAAUAACGUUUCAUAACAUUUAGCAUGCGUGUGUGUGUGUUUGUGUGUGUGUGUGUGUGUUUGCAAUACACUGAAUGUGCAGAACUGGAAAUGAAAUUUACUGUGUCCAAACACACACAAUCACACACACAUGACAGAGCCGUUGGCCUACAUUCUCUCCGAAAUCCAAUUACACACAUCACCCUCUCUGCACACUGUGUGCGAAAACGCGGCUACACACAGAUCACACGCGAUGUGCUUAGAGUGUACAACUCAUGAUUAACUUCUGUUUAUGAUGUCACACUUACUUUAUGGUUCAUUUACGAUUUUUAUUAAUUAUCUUCACCUUCCAUUUUAUCUUUUUAAUGGCAUCACAAUUACAUUUUACUUUUAUGUUUCAGUUCUUUACCUUCCAUUUAGACCGGAACCCUCAUUUUUACCUUUCUUCUAUGAUGUCACAAUUACGUUGGUGUUUAGUUUAUGAUGUCACAAUUGUGUUUGUGUUUCAUUUAUGAUGUCACAAUUACUUCGGUGUUUCGUUUAUGAUGUCACAAUUAUGUUGUUUCAUUUAUGAUGUCACAAUUGCUUCGGUGUUUCGUUUAUGAUGUCACAAUUAUGUUGUUUCAUUUAUGAUGUCACAAUUGCUUUGGUGUUUCGUUUAUGAUGUCACGAAUAGGUUAUGUUUCGUUUAUGAUGUCACAAUUUCAUUCGUGUUUCGUUUAUGAUGUCACAUUUAUGUUUGUGUUUCAUUUAUGAUGUCACAAUUACUUUCACCUUACAUUUACAAUGCAACACUCAUUUUUGCCUUCCUUUUAUAUUUCAUUUUUACUUAUGCUGUGACUGUUAGAUAUGCUUGUUGUGUCUCUGCUGCAGAUGUUAAGCAGCUUAUACAUUUUUAAAAAAUCAUAUAAACACUGAUAGCUUGUUUUUGAAUUUCAGCUUUAGAUACUGAAUGGAAAUCCAAAUCUGAAGUUCACCAAAUUAUUUGCUAAGUACACCAGAAUCUGACUUAGAUUUGACUUAAAUCAGUGAGACAGUUAACAUACAUGCAAAAUAGUACAACACACAUCUGUCAUGUCAAGAGAUCAGAGUAUUCCUUAAGCAUGUCAGGUACUGUUCUGUCCUCAGUUUACUGAAGAUGAUUUUUACUAAUUAUUACCCUACUCUGGUGUCAGUGUUCUGAAGCUUGUGAAAAUUUGGUAUGGGUUUUAAGAAAUGGUUAUGAGACGAUGGUGGGUUUCUGUGUUUAUCUGCGAGUUGCUUCCAACUUCCACAAAUGUACCUACACCUUGAACCUGCUGCAGUUUAAAACAAACAUCAACUAAGGCAUUAUGGAAAUGAAGCCAAUCUGUGAUAAUGAUUGGAGUAAAGCCAUUAAAUCCAUCAAACAAGAUGUAAUUUAUUUAUAAUUGACUAAACCAAACAGCUUUUAAGAUUCCCCACAGACAGCAACUCGAUGAAUUUUACAUAAUUAAGAUGCACUGAGUGACAAACAAACGUAGCUUUUACAAAAAAAAUUAAAAAAUAGGAUAAUUUAAUGACGUUUUAAUCUUGGUUUUAGCACACUUAGAAAGCAAAAGAAAUGUUAAUGGCUGUAUCCGAAAUAGCAAAUAUCCAAAGGCAUUAUGGGUAUUCUAUACCUGCUACUCUAUAUCAUUUGGGCACUACCCUGUUGCAGUGCAUUGUGGGAAUUUAAUAGUAUGCUGAUACUGAUCUACUUUGCUAUAAAAUGUCCAGACUCUGAAAAUAGUGUACUAUACGUAUAGUGAAUAAGGUGGAGCUCUGAACAUAAAGAAACAAUUACCUUAAAAUUCUGUUUUAUAUCAUUAGCUUUAAUUCUUCAAUUCC
Long non-coding RNA from Pangasianodon hypophthalmus (striped catfish), 2715 nucleotides. RefSeq lists it as uncharacterized. Lineage: Eukaryota; Metazoa; Chordata; Actinopteri; Siluriformes; Pangasiidae. The transcript has 4 exons. The record is from RefSeq and is a predicted model, not a curated record.